AGUAAAGAAGUGCCUAGAAAAAACAAGGCAAGACAUGGAAAGAAUUUUUAGUAUUAAAGCUGCAAUGGCAAUGUGGAACAUGAAUUAAUAUUUGUUUUCCUUUUAGAGCCUUUAUGAGGAGUAAAGGCUGCAAAGUUUCAAGGUGGACCUGUGCUAAAGUUCCUCAUCCACUGCAACAAGACGGCACAUCUUGUGGUGUUUUUGUAUGCAAGUUUGCAGAAAAAAUCUUGAGGAAUGAAGCAAUCACCUUCUCCAAUACAUAGAAAGGAAUCGCAAUCAUAAGACAAGAAAUAAAAGACACCCUAGUGCAGGAAUCAGAAGAUUUAAACAGUCUCUGUCAUUUCUGUGGACUACGCAAUGACCAAAGUGAUUCAGACGUAACACUUGCUUGGAUUGCCUGUGAUGGAUGUGACAGGUGGUACCACCAGUCAUGUGUUGGCAACCCACCAGUGAAUGAAGACUAUUAUUGCCCAAUGUGUAUGCGUUGAGUCGGCUGCAAUUUGGAAAAAACUUUCAAGCUAAUGCUGCUGAAAUGGAGGUCAAGGGGACUAUGAAGAGCUGGGACUAUGGCUCCAGCUGGGAGAUCAGAAGGGAGGACUUCAGGAGGCAGACACACUCCGUUACAGUAAUCAGCUGAUCCAGUCGGUAUCCAGACCAGACGGUGGACCUGCACCCAGGAACGACCACAACACAUCCCUGACUGUCAGCGGAGACCAUGUCAGCUAGAUGACAGAUCCCUGUGAAGACCUCAUUGAUGGCCCCAGCACAGAUCCUCAGCAAAGACUACGAGAACCAGACAAGCCCUCUGCGCAGACCCUUUUUACCAGCUUCACCUGCUGGCGUGAUAUUACUUCAAGCAGAAGAAGUUGGAUGAAAUAUUCUGAAUGAUAUCAAUCCACAAUCUGACUUGUGAUGCAGCCUGGAAUAAUCACACCAUGUUCACUCGGUUGGCCAGAUGAGAACUGGUUUCCUGACUGAGCCGGGUCUUGUUUGGGUUCCUUGUCACUGUUGCCUUUUGUCUUGCUUGGUUGAAGACACCUAAUAUUCAGCAAUAUUAUUGACUUGACUGCACUGACACCAUUUGAUAAGAACUGAACUGAAUUAUGACACAAUGUUUUAUAUA
Onychostoma macrolepis is the source of this 1123-nucleotide long non-coding RNA. RefSeq lists it as uncharacterized. The transcript has 6 exons. NCBI's taxonomy places the organism in Eukaryota, Metazoa, Chordata, Actinopteri, Cypriniformes, Cyprinidae. The record is from RefSeq and is a predicted model, not a curated record.